RNAcentral lists this ribosomal RNA (253 nucleotides) under uncultured bacterium. Its description in RNAcentral is "partial 16S ribosomal RNA". It matches the Rfam family "Bacterial small subunit ribosomal RNA", at positions 524 to 776 of the family's 1533-position model. The record is from RNAcentral.
UACGUAGGGGUCCAGCGUUGCUCGGAAUUACUGGGCGUAAAGGGUUCGUAGGCGGUGCGGCAAGUUGGGAGUGAAAUCUCUGGGCUUAACCCAGAGGCUGCUUUCAAAACUGCCGUGCUCGAGUGCGAGAGAGGUCAGUGGAAUUGCAGGUGUAGCGGUGAAAUGCGUAGAUAUCUGCAGGAACACCCGUGGCGAAGGCGGCUGACUGGACCGACACUGACGCUGAGGAGCGAAAGCCAGGGGAGCAAACGGG